RNAcentral lists this long non-coding RNA (1875 nucleotides) under Marmota monax (woodchuck). The record is from RNAcentral. Lineage: Eukaryota; Metazoa; Chordata; Mammalia; Rodentia; Sciuridae.
AUUUUCAAAAAAAUAGAUGUUCAUGUAUCUUUCUUUCCUUUUUCAUAGGCAUUUUAGUGGAAGUUUGGAAGAUUCUGGCACAAACUAUUUUCGUAUCAUCAUUUUAAUGUUGCAUCAACUGUUUCACCCUGAACCCACUGAAGUUGCCUGUUAGGAACUCCAGCAGGUGCCUAUGGAUUUGUAUGAGUCGUAUCUUAUCGAGACUCCUGGCAAACUUAAUUUGCAUCAGUUUGUAAUCAGAAUUGAGGCUUGUUUGAGUUUAGAUUCUGAAUUACCUAAAAUUAGUGCAAAAAUUCUGAUCUAAGAGUGUUUGUACAUUGUAUUAAUCUCCUUUGAAAGACUAACACAUUAUUACAUAUAUAUGUAUCAAAUAGCUUAAAAUAAUUCUGACAUUUUUAUGUCCCUCUACCUUGAAAAAAACUACAACUUGGUACUGAAGAAGUACUUUGUUAUUCUGUCUUUGUCCAUCUCUCUCUCUCUUUCUCUCUCGCCCUCAUUUAUUAAGUGCCUUAUGAGCAACUUGGUCAUGGUCCAUCACCUCUAAAUAUUUUUGUGGAGGACAUCCAUCAGUUACAUUAUUCCGAUUAAAUAUGUGUAUGGAGAUUAAAAAAAGAAAAUGUUCUUUAUUAUUUCAAAUGCCCUCCUAUCCCAUGUUUAAAUACACAGUGAGAUUCUGAUUCAGACAACUGCUUUAAAUCACUCUUAUUUUUUUCACUUUGGCAUUAGUAAGAAAAGUAAACAUUUUUUGGUAAUACAAAUGUUACAUCUCUGUAAACAUAGGAUGUAGUCUUUUAAAUUAAAUAUGUCAAAAUGAAUUAAAAUGAUGGACUAUUUUAGUUUGGUUAUUAAUUGAUUAGUAGUGCAUUUAACUAUUACUUUGAUUAUAUCAGUGACUCAUAAGCUUUGCCCUUUUUGUGGUCACUGGCAGCAUAGCUGAUUUUUAAAGGACUUUUUCUGGCUUCAUUGACUUUUGUAGUGAGCACAGUUCCUUUCGGUCACUUGCUCCCUUUGAUGAUAGUCUCUUUAUUGACUCAAUGAUGAAUAAUAUCCUCAGUAUUCAUAUUCAAGUACUCCAAACACAGAUGAACUGAGACACUGGAUCAGAUCCAUGGAAUACUUAACAUGCUUAAUUUUAACAAUUCAAAUGGUUAGAUGAUGCACUUAAGUUUGAAUUAAAUUUUCCAUCCAUGGAUUCAACAUGUUCUUCCAACUUAAAAAGAAAGCAGAAAGAGAGGUCCCUGCAAAUAUUAAAAAGAAAUAAAAUAACCAGAAAAGACCAAAAGAUCAAGAGAAAAGCAUCCUACAUGACCUUGAGUGGAUUUAUGUUUUUGAGCUAUACAUGGAUAAACAGAAACAGUAAUCAUAGUUCAUAUAUUACUAAGAACAAAGUAGACAUUAUUUAUCAUUGUUUCUAAUUAUGCAUUUUAAAAAUUGAUUUUAUUGCCUAUUGACUAUUUCAUAGGCCUAUCACAUUAGUAUAAAACUAGUUGUCCUGUUAAAACCAAUUAAAGUGUUUGAGUUAAAUCUUAAUUUGGAUGUAUAUCAAUUGCAGAAAUGUUCUAAAAAAUUUUUAUAUUUCCUCUUAAAUCAAAAUGUAUGAAUCUCAGAUACCAAAUACUAUUUAGUAUAUAAUUCUUUAGCACAUUAGAAAUUUUCUGGUCAAAUAUAAAUUUACUUCUCAUUUACAUUAUUAGUAAAAAAUAUGCAAAUGAUUUUUAGUGCAUCACAAUUUAUGGAAAUUUGUAAUUAACUGUGGCUAUCUUAUCCAUAGAACAUAAUCACAUUGUCAGUCUAUCUCUAAAAUACAAAGCUCUGUAUGUCAAUGUUCAAAUAUUCAAUGUGAAGAUAUUUGGAUAAAUAUUUUUUGAAUAAAUC